UACAGAGGUCUCGAGCGUUGUUCGGAUUCAUUGGGCGUAAAGGGUGCGUAGGCGGCGGAGCAAGUCUGAUGUGAAAUCCCGGGGCUCAACCCCGGAACUGCAUUGGAUACUGCUUUGCUAGAGUACUGGAGAGGGAACUGGAAUUUACGGUGUAGCAGUGAAAUGCGUAGAGAUCGUAAGGAAGGCCAGUGGCGAAGGCGAGUUCCUGGACAGUUACUGACGCUGAGGCACGAAGGCCAGGGGAGCAAACGGG
This 253-nucleotide ribosomal RNA is filed under the name uncultured bacterium. RNAcentral describes it as "partial 16S ribosomal RNA". It matches the Rfam family "Bacterial small subunit ribosomal RNA", at positions 524 to 776 of the family's 1533-position model. The record is from RNAcentral.